UUUUUCAGCGAACCAACUGUAGUGGAACGGUCACUAGAUAUCCAGCGGGAAAGAAGACUGUAGAGCUCACUUUGGUCUAGUCUGUAUAGUCUGCGGGGGGUGUAGACUAGGUGGGAGAGCAAUCGAUUCUGAAAAACCACUACCCUGUUUGGAUUAUGCUUACCUAUCACAAGGAAUAGGACUAGAUAGAAAGUUUGGCUGGGGCGGCACACCUUCGAAAGAGCAGCGAAGGUGUCCUAAGUUGAGCUCAGUGAGGACAGAAAUCUCACGUUGAGGAUAAGGCCAAAAGCUCAAUUUACUGUGCCUUUUUGUACUAGGAUCAGUUACGAAAGUAAGGCCUAACGAUCCCUAAAUAGCCUCAGGUGCGUGAGGAUUGGGGUGACAGACAAGUUACCUCCGGGACAACUGGCUUGUGGCUGCUAAGAGAUCAAAUCAACGCAGCUUUUUGAUUCUUCGAUGUCGGCUCUUCCUAUCCUAGUGAUGUACAAGUUGCUAAGGGUCGGAUUGUUCACCCGUAUUAGGGAUCGUGAGCUGGGUUUAGACCGUCGUGAGCCAGGUUUGUUUUAUCCUACUGGAUAUAGCAUCAUGAUAGUAGAUUGAUUUAGUACGAGAGGAACUGUUGAUUAUGGCCUCUGGUUAGCGAUUAUCGGAAACGGUAUGUCGCGCAGCUACGCCGUCUGGGAUAAUGGCUGAAAGCCUCUUAAGCCAGAAGCCCAUCUAGAAAGUGAUGCACGUGAUGUUGGACCGAUACGAAUAAUCAUACUCAAAAGGUCCGCUUCAUAGGUAACCCAAUGUAGAAGACAUUGUGUGAACGAAGGUACUGUAAGCAGUGGAGUGGCAUUACGUCCACGACCUGUUGAGGUUCAGCUUCGCUUCUAGGUUUCC
Molecule: non-coding RNA, 885 nt
Filed under: Trichomonas vaginalis G3
Lineage: Eukaryota; Parabasalia; Trichomonadida; Trichomonadidae
Description: Eukaryotic large subunit ribosomal RNA
Rfam family: Eukaryotic large subunit ribosomal RNA
Source: Rfam by way of RNAcentral